CAAACCAAACCAAACCAAACCUCAACUUGCUUUUUAGUGCUGCCUCGGGUCAAACAAACAAAAUAUUUCAGGAAAACAACAAAACAGAAGAAGCUCAAGAUCUGUAAUCUCUGGACAUCAGAAAAGUCAAAUUCUACAGAUGAAAACCCCUUCCUGUAAAGCAAUUUUUGGGUUGGUUUUAAAGUAGCCAAACCAAUAAAAUCUUGAAUAAAAUCAAGCCUUUUGAUGCAAGUGAGAGCCCACAGGUUGGAUUCUGGCCAGGGGUAACCCAACACCCAAUUUUUGCACCUCCACAUUGAAAUAAAACCUGCACACAAAGCGCCCCCAGUGUUCUGCACAAACCUCAAGAGAUCAAAACUCAAAUUCAAGGCUUUGCCAUUCUCAUUUGGCACAUUACACUCCUUUUUCACAUCUCAACACCCUUUAUUUCCAACAGCAGCUUUCCAAUAAUAUAUGAGCCACUAAACAUCUCAUAUCCUGGUCUUUUAAUCUAAUAAAAACCAAAUUACUGCAGCACCAUUUGUACUAGAAACUGAAUGCACUGAAAAGAUACAGAUGUGGCUCAUUUUGUAAGGUAGGAGGGAAAAGUAGAGAAAAUCCCACUGAAAUAGCAUUUACAUAGAAAAAAAGAUUCUUAGCUGUCAAAACUUGAGAUUAUUUGUGAGCUAACAAAGUUUAUUGCAAAGAGUUUAGUGAGAAUGUAUUUUAGGAUAAACUAAGAUUCAAAUGUUUAUAUAACCUCUGUGAAAAACAAGUUUUCACUGUCAGUUUCCAUUUCUAAAAAAUCUUAUAUAAAAAAAAUAAAAGUAAAUACAGAAGUAUCAUCCUAUUUAUACUCCAGCAGAACUCACUAUGUUGUUUUUCUGCAUCAAACAAAUCAAACACAUUAGUCUGGGUACAAACAUUCCCACUGUAACUCUGCUUUCCAAAAGCAUUAGCACAUAGCAAACACUACUGUUUAAAGAUCAAUUUUAUUUUUCAAAUCACAGAUGAAUUAAAAUAAGACACAUUCACACAAAUUCUGAAGGUCACACUGGUUUAUGAUCUCCCCCAAGCCUAAUUAUUACCCUCCAGAUUUCCAAUGUCCUCAGAGGUGGCUCCAUCUGAUUUUUGAGCUGUAAAUUGUUGCUGCAGAGGUCAAGAGCAGCACUGAGCAGAGAAGUGAGCAAAGGGAAGUUUCUUUCAGGAAGUUCUGACCACACCACGUGAAACCCUGCACAGGGGCUGAAACCCUUGGUGCAGCAGUUCCUUUGUGCCUUGCAGAGCACUGCCACCAAAACCCUGCCCUCAGCAUUAACUGCAGCAGCACAGCUCUGCUUCAGCUCCCCAAGAAAGAACAAUUCAGCACCCUAGAAACUUCACCACUGCUGUGGGUACCAGCACUUGCAUAAAGAAACUCAGGGAGAAUCAUCCUUUGGACCUAAAAGGCCACAGGAAAUGAGGAACUAUUUGACAGGAGCUGCAGAUAACAGGAGUGGGCUUCCAGGCCUCUUUAGCUGUUCUUUAGGGGACCAAUAUUGCUCAUUUUCCCACUUGUUUCUAUCACAAGACCUGUAACAACCAUGAGCUCCAACCAAAAAUAACAUUAAUAAUCAUUAAUAAUGCUAAAAACCAAAACUACUCAUUAUCCCUCUUCCACAACUCUCUGCACCACAUUUCCCCUUCCCUCAUUUCCUAUUCCCAACUAAUGCUGCAGCUCAGACCAGAUUCUGCUUUUGGUCCCACCCUUGUGCAGAACAGCAGAAAUCUCUGCAAUCACACCCAUUCCCUGUCCCCCAUCUGCUGCCACACACAGCACCCAGCCCAAAUGGACUCUGGAUUUUCCUUUCACCCUAAAGGGAGAAGCAGGAAGAGUUUCCUAUCCAGUUUUUGAGGUUUUUUUUCUCCAAUCUGGAGAUUUGGAUUGUCAGGAAAAGCCUGCCUGGCACUGCCAAGCCUGCUCUAAGGGAGGUGGGUUUCAUCUCCUCACCUGAGCCAUUCCUCCCUGCCAGGACCUGUGACUCAGGGAGGAAAGAGGAGACUCCCAGGGAGCCUCCUGAGCCUUUCAGGAGCUGAGGAGCAGCACAAAGCACUGACAGAAACCCAGGAAUGUGCCCAGGGAUGGAUCUGUAGGAGCUCCAGGAGCCUGCCCCAGGAGCAGCUCUCCCAGCACAUUGCUGGGAACUGGAGCAGAGCCCACACUGCUGACAAUGGGAAUUUUGGCACAUCCCAGGAAUGCUCCCUGUGCUGGGAAAGGCAGCUCCUGCCCCACUGAGAGCCCAGGUCACUGCAAGUCAGCAGCAAUGAAACCAAGGACACAACAAGAACCUUCCUGGAGGCUCCAGGACCUGCCCUUCCCACCAAGGGAGCCCAGAACAGCCCAGGAGAAGGUUCUGCCCAGGUGAAGGUGCUGCCCAGGAGAAGGUUCUGCCCAGGUGAAGGUGCUGCCCAGGAGAAGGUUCUGCCCAGGAGAAGGUGCUGCCCAGGAGAAGGUGCUGCCCAGGUGAAGGUGCUGCCCAGGAGAAGGUGCUGCCCAGGAGAAGGUUCUGCCCAGGAGAAGGUGCUGCCCAGGAGAAGGUGCUGCCCAGGAGAAGGUGCUGCCCAGGAGAAGGUGCUGCCCAGGAGAAGGUGCUGCCCAGGUGAAGGUUCUGCCCAGGAGAAGGUUCUGCCCAGGAGAAGGUGCUGCCCAGGAGAAGGUGCUGCCCAGGAGAAGGUGCUGCCCAGGAGAAGGUGCUGCCCAGGUGAAGGUUCUGCCCAGGAGAAGGUGCUGCCCAGGAGAAGGUGCUGCCCAGGAGAAGGUUCUGCCCAGGAGAAGGUGCUGCCCAGGAGAAGGUGCUGCCCAGGUGAAGGUUCUGCCCAGGAGAAGGUGCUGCCCAGGUGAAGGUUCUGCCCAGGAGAAGGUGCUGCCCAGGAGAAGGUUCUGCCCCAGCAGGGAGAUGCCAGCACACAGAUUUCACUGCCAGUUACACAACUGCAGGCCCAUCUCCUUCCACUGCAAAUUAGAUCUCCUGAUUUGUCCAAGACUUUAAGAACACUAAUGAGAGCAGCAUCUCUGUAAUCCUUUUAAGUGCUUAUGGUGGAGAUAAAGCACCCUGAGCCAGAGCCCAGACAUCAAAGCAUGUCAGAAAGCACCACACUGAAGGAAACUCAGGAGGAAAGUUGAUUUUGUUUUCCUAGGAACAGAAAGGGGGCUAAAAACCCUGCCUGAUAAUCCAGCAGCAAAUCACUGUGGAACCCUGCAAAAACCUUCACAUUUCUAGUGGAAACUGCUUUUAAUCUACCACUCCCAACUCACACCUAAAACUGCAACACAGUUUAUUUUUCUUAAUUGUUCCUCAGAACUCUGUGAAUACCUUUUAUAUAUUUCAACUUAACUCUUCCCAAGGGUAACUGUGUUCCUCUGAAUGCAUCUCAAAACAGGUAAUUUUUUCAACAGUUUCAUCUUGAAUUAGUUUCAAUAAGGCAAGUAUUAAAAACCUGCUUAGAACUGCUUCCUCCAGGCUGACAUAUCAAUACCAACAAUACCAAAAUACUGCCAAAUUUCAAGGAUGGUUGAUUUCUCUGAAUUUCUUGUAGGAUCAAAACAGAGACUCUCAAAGAGUCAACUCCUCUUUGCCCUAUGUCCCCAUUCCAGCUUGAUAUUCAGGAAUCAGAGUCUGUUCAACUCAUACCCAUUGAUUUAGCACCAGAAAAAAGCUGGAAUUUUCUGAAUCUUCUUUGCUCCCUACCCACCCUUCUGGGCAUUUCCUUCUGGAAUCCCCUCAGAUGUUUGAGGCCAGCUCUACAACAAGGCUGCCUGAGGCAGUAAGAAUUAACCUGUUCCCCCUCCAAACCCACCCACAGCCAUCCUCUUGAUCUGGUUUUUUAGUUUUUGUUUACAAACACUACAGAAGCCUCCAGCCCUGGGAGAGAAGGGGGAGGUGGGGUGAAAGGAAAGGGGAACACACACAAGGAGCCAAGGAAAUUCAUCUACUGCCUAAACCCAGCACAGCAAAAUAAGGAACUUAUAAAAGAAGCACCACACUGAGGGCUCCACAUUCAUUUGUUGGCUUCAAGUCCAAGCUGAUUUAAUCAAUUUAAAAUAAACACACCACACUGAAAAUCUCACAAAGAUUUCAAAGUGAAAAGAGAUUUCAAGAGAACAAAAAGCCAUAAUGGAAUAAUUAAGAGAGUUAUUGAUCUGGAUGAACAAGGGAGGGCAGAUCAUGGACAAGAUGUACAAGAUCCAAAAAUCCCUCUGCACCUCAGCAGCACCCAAUGGAUCCUCUCCAUCACUGGGACAUUGCAGGGAACCUUUCCAGCAGUUCAAAUUAAUAAAUUCAAAGUUUAUUCAAACACUUGUGUUCCUAAACACCUCUACUCACAGACUACAAUUCCUAUUUUCAAGAUACAACUCCUUUAACAUCAGCUCUGAUGUGCAGCACAAAAAUCUUUAUCAAUUUUUUAGAUGCUUCAUAACAUUUGGAGUACUGAAACUAUAAAAAAAAACACCAAAGAGGAUAAAUAAGUAAGUUUGACCUCAAUACCCUAAAAUAAAAUGUUUGAAGUGUGUUAUGGACAAGUUGAACAGGAGCCAAGAGCAGAUCCUUCAAAAGACAGCAAUGAGUCCCAGGCUGCACCAGCAGGACAAGGACAGCCAUCCCUCCUUGUGGGAAUCAGAACAACAGAAACUUCCACAGACACUGAGGGAUUUGAUCU
Long non-coding RNA from Serinus canaria (Common canary), 4677 nucleotides. RefSeq lists it as uncharacterized. The transcript is spliced from 3 exons. The record is from RefSeq and is a predicted model, not a curated record. Lineage: Eukaryota; Metazoa; Chordata; Aves; Passeriformes; Fringillidae.